GUGGUAGCAUGUGCCUGUCAUCCCAGCGACUCGGGACACUGAGGCAGAAGGAAGACUCGGCUGAGUCCAGGAGUUCUGGCCUGUAGUGUGCUCUGCCUAUGAGGUGUCCACACUAAGUCCAGCAUCAGUAUGGUGACCUUCCAAGGGAAGAGGGGACCACUAGGUUGCCUAAGGAGGGGUGAACUGGCCCAUGUUGGAAACAGUAGGUCAGUAGUGGGGUUACACCUGUGAAUGAAUAGCUGCUGUACUCCACCCUGAGCAACAUAACAAGAGCCUGUCUCAU
RNAcentral lists this signal recognition particle RNA (283 nucleotides) under Microcebus murinus (gray mouse lemur). RNAcentral's name for it is "Metazoan signal recognition particle RNA (ENSMICG00000031898.2)". It matches the Rfam family "Metazoan signal recognition particle RNA". Rfam says of the family: The signal recognition particle (SRP) is a universally conserved ribonucleoprotein. It is involved in the co-translational targeting of proteins to membranes. The eukaryotic SRP consists of a 300-nucleotide 7S RNA and six proteins: SRPs 72, 68, 54, 19, 14, and 9. The record is from Rfam by way of RNAcentral. Lineage: Eukaryota; Metazoa; Chordata; Mammalia; Primates; Cheirogaleidae.